This 443-nucleotide ribosomal RNA is filed under the name uncultured bacterium. RNAcentral describes it as "SSU rRNA". It matches the Rfam family "Bacterial small subunit ribosomal RNA", at positions 26 to 518 of the family's 1533-position model. The record is from RNAcentral.
AGAACGAACGCUGGCGGCAGGCUUAACACAUGCAAGUCGAGCGCCCAGCAAUGGGAGCGGCGGACGGGUGCGUAACACGUGGGAACAUGCCUUUCGGUACGGAACAACUGCGGGAAACUGCAGCUAAUGCCGUAUACGCCCUUACGGGGAAAGAUUUAUCGCCGAAAGAUUGGCCCGCGUCUGAUUAGCUAGUUGGUGAGGUAACGGCUCACCAAGGCUUCGAUCAGUAGCUGGUUUGAGAGAACGACCAGCCACACUGGGACUGAGACACGGCCCAGACUCCUACGGGAGGCAGCAGUGGGGAAUCUUGGACAAUGGGCGAAAGCCUGAUCCAGCCAUGCCGCGUGAGUGAUGAAGGCCUUCGGGUUGUAAAACUCUUCUACCUGGGAAGAUAAUGACUGUACCAGGAGAAUAAGCCCGGCUAACUUCGUGCCAGCAGCCGC